CACGUAGGGCGCAAGCGUUGUCCGGAAUUAUUGGGCGUAAAGAGCUCGUAGGCGGUCUGUUGCGUCUGCUUUGAAAACCCGGGGCUUAACCCCUGGCUUGCAGUGGAUACGGACAGACUAGAGGUAGGUAGGGGAGAAUGGAAUUCCCGGUGUAGCGGUGAAAUGCGCAGAUAUCGGGAGGAACACCAAUUGCGAAGGCAGCUCGCUGGGACGUUACUGACGCUGAGACGCGAAAGCGUGGGGAGCAAACAGG
RNAcentral lists this ribosomal RNA (253 nucleotides) under uncultured bacterium. RNAcentral's name for it is "partial 16S ribosomal RNA". It matches the Rfam family "Bacterial small subunit ribosomal RNA", at positions 524 to 776 of the family's 1533-position model. The record is from RNAcentral.